GACGAACGCUGGCGGCGUGCCUAAUACAUGCAAGUCGAACGCAGUGGGGACGGGUGAGUAACACGUGGGUAACCUCCCCUCAGAUGGGAUAACACUUGGAAACAGGUGCUAAACCGAUAUUGGUGGCUGGACCCGCGUUGCAUUAGCUAGUGGGUGCGGUAAGGGCUCACCAAGGCCACGAUGCAUAGCAGAACUGAGAGGGGGAUCGGCACCACGGGGACGGAGACACGGCCCAGACUCCAACGGGAGGCAGCAGUAGGGAAUCUUAGGCAAGGGACGAAAGGGUGACCGAGCAACGCCGCGUGAGUGAAGAAGGUUUUCGGAUAGUAAAACUCUGUUGUUAGAGAAGCGGUAUCUAACCAGAAAGCAACGGCUAACUCCGUGCCAGCAGCCGCGGUAAUAC
This 403-nucleotide ribosomal RNA is filed under the name uncultured bacterium. RNAcentral describes it as "partial 16S ribosomal RNA". It matches the Rfam family "Bacterial small subunit ribosomal RNA", at positions 28 to 526 of the family's 1533-position model. The record is from RNAcentral.